GACGAACGCUGGCGGCGUGCCUAAUACAUGCAAGUAGAACGCUGAAGAGAGGAGCUUCCUCUUCUUGGAUGAGUUGCGAACGGGUGAGUAACGCGUAGGUAACCUGCCUUGUAGCGGGGGAUAACUAUUGGAAACGAUAGCUAAUACCGCAUAACAAUGGAUGACACAUGUCAUUUAUUUGAAAGGGGCAAUUGCUCCACUACAAGAUGGACCUGCGUUGUAUUAGCUAGUAGGUGAGGUAAUGGCUCACCUAGGCGACGAUACAUAGCCGACCUGAGAGGGUGAUCGGCCACACUGGGACUGAGACACGGCCCAGACUCCUACGGGAGGCAGCAGUAGGGAAUCUUCGGCAAUGGGGGCAACCCUGACCGAGCAACGCCGCGUGAGUGAAGAAGGUUUUCGGAUCGUAAAGCUCGGUUGUAAGUCAAGAACGGGUGUGAGAGUGGAAAGUUCACACUGUGACGGUAGCUUACCAGAAAGAGACGGCUAACUACGUG
RNAcentral lists this ribosomal RNA (497 nucleotides) under uncultured bacterium. RNAcentral's name for it is "partial 16S ribosomal RNA". It matches the Rfam family "Bacterial small subunit ribosomal RNA", at positions 28 to 507 of the family's 1533-position model. The record is from RNAcentral.